UCAAAUAUAUGCUGUGUGUCUGUAAUGAUUAUGUAUGAAAACAUAAUGUAAGAUACCAAACGGAAAAUGUUCGACUUUUCCAAAUCCCACGCUACGAAGAAGUGACGGAAUAGUACAUUUAGUUGUCUGUCCUAAAAUGUUUUUUUCCGUCAGUCUGUCAGUCAUCUUGUUUUCCGAACAGAUAUUUUGUAUCGGAUUGCAACCUUGCAACAAAUGUAUAGCAAAGACUGAGAAAUUUUACAUGUUUAAAAGUUCAAGUACACCUAUAUACACGAUUAAGAAGAUGUGUUAUAAUUGCCAUUGAGACAACUUUCUAUCAGAACGA
This 325-nucleotide long non-coding RNA is filed under the name Mytilus galloprovincialis (Mediterranean mussel). The record is from RNAcentral. Lineage: Eukaryota; Metazoa; Mollusca; Bivalvia; Mytilida; Mytilidae.